UACGGAGGUGGCAAGCGUUACUCGGAAUUAUUGGGUGUAAAGGGCAAGUAGGCGGCUUAGUAAGUGGGGGGUGAAAUACUUCGGCUCAAUCGGAGAACUGCCUUCCAAACUGCUAAGCUUGAGUGUGACAGAGGAAAAUGGAAUUCUCGGUGUAAGGGUGAAAUCUGUAGAUAUCGAGAAGAACACCAGCGGCGAAGGCGAUUUUCUGGGUCACUACUGACGCUAAAUUGCGAAAGCUAGGGGAGCAAACAGA
RNAcentral lists this ribosomal RNA (253 nucleotides) under uncultured bacterium. Its description in RNAcentral is "partial 16S ribosomal RNA". It matches the Rfam family "Bacterial small subunit ribosomal RNA", at positions 524 to 776 of the family's 1533-position model. The record is from RNAcentral.